UGUGGUAUAACCGUUGCUAUUGUUGAAAAACCGUUGCAAUAGAGUGUCUUAUAGCAACGGUUUCACAAACCAUUGCCAUAGAGUAAUCUAUGGCAACGCUUUAUUAGAAAAAAGAUACUAUUGCAACGCUUUUUUAUUUCCUUCCUCAAUAUUGCUAAAAAUUAAAGAAAUAUAAACAUUGUGUCCCCAAUUUCACUGAUGUUUCAUUAUGCUCCGACGACCCAAUUUUAUUGGGCUCCGACCAUAUUUCAUUGAGCUCCGACUGAUUCACUCUCAAAUCGAUCACCAAGUUCGGAUCUUUAUUCUUCUUCUCUACAUCAACUUCACUCUCAUCCUUUUAGAAACUUUGGUUCUAUGAACAUGGAUGAAAUUCUCAAGAACAUUUAUUCUGAUUUUGACCCUUUUGCUUUUGACCCCAGCUACCUAAAUCGUCAUCGCUGCUGCCAUUGUUAAUCCUGUUGUCGUGGCCGCCAGUUUGGAUUCUUAAACCUUGCAGGUUUAUUACUAAGUACAAUUUUUUUUGGGUUUAUCUGUCUUUGAAUAGAUUUUUAUAAUGAGUAGAUGUUUACUGGCACAUCAAUAGAGAUGUUUUGUGUUUUAUAUCUUCUAAAAUCACCGUCAGAGUUGAUAUAUUUGUUAUAUUAAACAAAUAUCUCUGAAAUAAUUGUCCACAGAUCAGUUGUGUAAGGCAUUAGAUUUUGCCCCUUCGUAUUUAGGAAAAACCAAUAAGUAGCAGCAGAACUUGGAUUAUGAAGUUUCAAAUGAAGAUAUGAAGGUGAUUAUAUUUGGGCUCUUUUACUUGUUCAAUUAUGUUGCCGAAGUUGUUAAGUUGCUUGCUCGUGUGCGUUUUAGAAUUAUUGAAUUAUUUAGUUGAAUGUUGAUAAAGCUUUAAGUGGCCAUUUGGGAGCCGGUUAGAAGUAUGUAGGUAUUAGUAAUGCAUUUAUUAUUUAUCCGGUUGUUAAUUAUGCAGUUUUUAGUUAUGCUAGUGUUCUUUAUGAGGUUAUUAGUUAUUCAGGUAUUAAUUAUGUGAGUUCUAUUUAUGCGGGUGUUAGUUAUGAGGGUGUAAGUUAUGCGGGUGUUAGUUAUGCGGGUGUAAGUUAUGAGGGUGUUAGUUAUGCGGGUGUAAGUUAUGAGGGUGUUAGUUAUGCGGGUGUAAGUUAUGAGGGUGUUAGUUAUGCAAGUGUAAGUUAUUAGGGUGUUAGUUAUGCGAGUAUAAGUUAUGAGGGUAUUGCUCUUCCCCUUUCAUCGUCGGCUCAAGCUUCUCGCAAAGAGUUGCAUGCUGUAUCUGAACAAUCGGUGUAGAAUUCCAGUAGUGAGGUAACAACUUAUAAAUCCUUCUCGCAUGGCCUUUGUUUCUGAUCUAGACGGGGUAUUUUCAUUCAUAUUUCCAUUUUACGUGUAGAAAACGGAGGGUUCCAGACUAGGUCAAUUGGACGAGAGAUUGAUAUACGAGGUGCAGCAAUGGAGAGAGUCGGUUGAUGUGGACUUUUGUUCAAUAACUAUUGAUGAAAGUUCAUCGAACAACGAUAUUCUGCAACAGAGAUUGUGUAGUGCGGUAAAACAAAAAGAAGAGUUGCAUCAAAUGGAGGUUGGGUUACGAGCUCAAAUCAUUGCAAAACCGGAAAUUAUGCUUUGAGUAAUGGAGAAUCUAAAUUCGUGAUAUACCAGAGUUUGUGGAUGGCCUAAAAAUGGAAAAUAACACUAAGGCUGCAAUAAUGAGAAUUGGCUUGAUAGAGAUGAAGGAAUUAUCCAAGUGGGAGGAAAAAACAGGAGGUGUGCUGAUGCUUUUGCAUGGAAUGGAGGAAAAAGGUUUAGAUUAUUGCAUGAGUUUCACUGCGUUUGUUCUAGUUUCAUACUUUAUGUGGUCAGUGUCGGAGUCAGGAUUUUCUUUGAGAGAGAAAGAGAAAAGCAAUUUGGGAAGAAUCGCAGCACUAACCAUGAUGUUUGAGUAAUGCUUCAUCUCGUAAACUCAGAGCUGAGAGUGAUGCUGGUGAUAAACCAGCUCAUCAUGAAGUUGGGGGAGUUGG
Molecule: long non-coding RNA, 2027 nt
Organism: Capsicum annuum
Lineage: Eukaryota; Viridiplantae; Streptophyta; Magnoliopsida; Solanales; Solanaceae
Exons: 5
Source: RefSeq, a predicted model, not a curated record